Myotis brandtii (Brandt's bat) is the source of this 75-nucleotide non-coding RNA. Lineage: Eukaryota; Metazoa; Chordata; Mammalia; Chiroptera; Vespertilionidae. The record is from Rfam.
GGUGGUUCUUGGAUGAUGUACCUCAGAAUCAGGCUCCCUCCUCUCUGGUUACCGGUGCAUCACCCAAGAACUGCA